This 300-nucleotide long non-coding RNA is filed under the name Theobroma cacao (cacao). RNAcentral's name for it is "long non-coding RNA (TCAC_LNC000852)". Lineage: Eukaryota; Viridiplantae; Streptophyta; Magnoliopsida; Malvales; Malvaceae. The record is from RNAcentral.
UUGAUUUGAUUUUGACUUCUGAGGAACUUUAUUAACCAGUUGCUUGGGUUCAUUGCAUGAUAACCGGUCCUUUUUAUUAGUUUUUGGGAAGAGUUUAUUAAGUAAUGCUUGCCUUUAUUACUUUACGACUGGUUCCUCCUAUUGCUUUUCUGGAAGAGUUCAAAAGCAUGGUUUAGGGUUUUCUUUUUUCUCUGUUUUAAGGUCUUUUUCUUGAUUAGUUUUUUUUUUUAUAAUUGGGAAAAGAGGGAUUCGAACCUUGCUCUUUAGGUAGGAGGUUCAUGCACCAACCAUUGAGUCAAA